RNAcentral lists this ribosomal RNA (279 nucleotides) under uncultured bacterium. RNAcentral describes it as "partial 16S ribosomal RNA". It matches the Rfam family "Archaeal small subunit ribosomal RNA", at positions 456 to 735 of the family's 1478-position model. The record is from RNAcentral.
UGCCAGCCGCCGCGGUAAAACCAGCACCUCAAGUGGUCAGGAUGAUUAUUGGGCCUAAAGCAUCCGUAGCCUGUUCUGUAAGUUUUCGGUUAAAUCUAUACGCUCAGCGUAUAGGCUGCCGAAAAUACUGCAGAACUAGGGAGUGGGAGAGGUAGACGGUACUCGGUAGGAAGGGGUAAAAUCCUUUGAUCUAUUGAUGACCACCUGUGGCGAAGGCGGUCUACCAGAACACGUUCGACGGUGAGGGAUGAAAGCUGGGGGAGCAAACCGGAUUAGAUA